AACGAACGCUGGCGGCAUGCCUAACACAUGCAAGUCGAACGAUCCCUUCGGGGAUAGUGGCGCACGGGUGCGUAACGCGUGGGAACAUGCCCUUAGGUUCGGAAUAACUCAGAGAAAUUUGAGCUAAUACCGGAUAAUGUCUUCGGACCAAAGAUUUAUCGCCUUUGGAUGGGCCCGCGUUGGAUUAGCUAGUUGGUGGGGUAAAGGCCUACCAAGGCGACGAUCCAUAGCUGGUCUGAGAGGAUGAUCAGCCACACUGGGACUGAGACACGGCCCAGACUCCUACGGGAGGCAGCAGUGGGGAAUAUUGGACAAUGGGCGAAAGCCUGAUCCAGCAAUGCCGCGUGAGUGAUGAAGGCCUUAGGGUUGUAAAGCUCUUUUACCCGGGAUGAUAAUGACAGUACCGGGAGAAUAAGCCCCGGCUAACUCCGUG
RNAcentral lists this ribosomal RNA (433 nucleotides) under uncultured bacterium. RNAcentral describes it as "partial 16S ribosomal RNA". It matches the Rfam family "Bacterial small subunit ribosomal RNA", at positions 29 to 507 of the family's 1533-position model. The record is from RNAcentral.